CCAAUAGCGUAUAUUAAAGUUGUUGCAGUUAAAAAGCUCGUAGUUGAAUUUCGGGAUUGACGUGAUGGUCGUGCCUUACGGGGUAUGAACUGUUGCUGUUGAUUUCUCACCUUCUGGAGAAACUUGAUGUCCUUAAUUGGGUGUCUUGCGGAUCCAGGACCUUUACCUUGAAAAAAUUAGAGUGUUUAAAGCAGGCAUUUGCUCGAAUACAUUAGCAUGG
This 220-nucleotide ribosomal RNA is filed under the name uncultured Entrophospora. RNAcentral describes it as "uncultured Claroideoglomus partial small subunit ribosomal RNA". It matches the Rfam family "Eukaryotic small subunit ribosomal RNA", at positions 591 to 812 of the family's 1831-position model. Lineage: Eukaryota; Fungi; Glomeromycota; Glomeromycetes; Entrophosporales; Entrophosporaceae. The record is from RNAcentral.